CCGGUUAGGGCAAGGGUCCCCGAGAUCAUCGGGUCAGGCCUUGGGCCAACGUAGGCACUCUCGCAGUUCCUCCGCCUUCAGGAAGGUCUUUUUGGCAGGGGCCUUACGGGUGCGCGCUUCGGUCCUGGAGGCGUUAUCCUAGCCUCCUCUCCAUCAGCGCCACCCGUCUGGGGCCCGAUAGGAGGGAGAUUUCCCUCUGUCCCCCAGCCUUUGGACUGUCACCAAACAAGCCAUUCGUUCACCAAAUACUUAUUAAGCGCCUACCAUGUGUCUGGCAAGGGAGAUGUAACAGUGAGAAAAACUAGGUGUGGUCCAGGCCCUCCAGGGGCUCAGGGGCUCGUGGAAGAAGUAGACAUUGAAGUACUUAUCACACAAAUGAGUAUAAAAGUACAAUAGCGAUAUCUGCCACGAAGGCGAGCAGACAGAGCUAGCGGGGCUUGCAGGAGGAGUUUUGAUCUUGCAGGGAUAGGAAGGAGGACUUAGUUCCUGCGGGGUGGGCUUGGGGGUGGUGGUGAUAGAGACGUGGGGACAGAGUGGAAAACAACAAAAAUAUAAUUAUUUUAGUUCAAAGUUAUUGUGUCUUGAGUUGAAAGGCAGGGCAGUUAGCAACACAGUUCAGAUUUCAGUACUGCCCCUGAAAUCUGAACUGUGUUCAAAGUCUAAAACGUUUACCUUAGCAAAUCCCUCAUAAAACUCCAUUUGGAAGAGUCCCGAGAGCGAAUUUGUUAAGUAUACUUGCAAAAGGUAGAUGAGGAGACAGAUAAAAUCUUAUUACCUCUUUCAGAUGAGAGGCACUUGAGCCCUGCUCAGCUAUGAGAAUAAGAGAGGGGAAUUAAUUCUAAUUGAAUACACUUGUUCUCUUAUAGCUGUUGUUCCACACCAGAACCAAAUGAACGCAAGAUCUGACAAAGAAAAAAAGAGGUUCAUCUUUUAUUCCCCCAAACCCUUUCAUUUAAAUCAAGAGGGUGGGAUGUGGUUAUUGCUGUGUUUUUAGGCAGAAUCAACGGUUUCUGGGUCUGAGAUGUUGCAUACACCCUCUCAGUCCCUGUAUCCUGAGAUGGAGUCACCUGAGAAUCCACAGCAAGUCCUAACCAGGGAUGGGUCUGGGUGAUUAAGGAAGGUUGGCUUCAGAACUGGGCCAGGGGCACUGCUUUGCUUUUGCUGUUUUGAUCAGCUCUCUGCCUGCAGGAGACAAGGAAAACCAAUGGGAACAGCUGGGGAAACUGAAUUACAGAGCUUUUCUGCACUGAAUCAUCAGGAGCAAAUGCUAGAUCAGAUAGGGUCUCUCUCUCUGCCACUCAGGCCACAGUGCAGUUGACGCAGGGCAGGGGAGCCCCGAAGUGGAGCAUAGUGUGUCCAGAACUGGUGGGUUCUUGG
RNAcentral lists this long non-coding RNA (1377 nucleotides) under Homo sapiens (human). RNAcentral describes it as "HSALNT0317901". Lineage: Eukaryota; Metazoa; Chordata; Mammalia; Primates; Hominidae. The record is from RNAcentral.